RNAcentral lists this ribosomal RNA (440 nucleotides) under uncultured bacterium. RNAcentral describes it as "partial 16S ribosomal RNA". It matches the Rfam family "Bacterial small subunit ribosomal RNA", at positions 338 to 795 of the family's 1533-position model. The record is from RNAcentral.
CCUACGGGUGGCAGCAGUGGGGGAUAUUGCACAAUGGGGGAAACCCUGAUGCAGCGACGCCGCGUGGGUGAAGAAGCGCCUCGGCGCGUAAAGCCCUGUCAGCAGGGAAGAAAAUGACGGUACCUGAAGAAGAAGCCACGGCUAACUACGUGCCAGCAGCCGCGGUAAUACGUAGGGGGCAAGCGUUAUCCGGAUUUACUGGGUGUAAAGGGGGCGCAGACGGCGAUGCAAGCCAGGAGGGAAAGCCCGGGGCCCCACCCCGGGACUGCGCUUUGAACUGCGUGGCCAGAGUGCAGGGGGGGCAGGCGGAAUUCCUGGUGUAGCGGUGGAAUGCGUAGAUAUCCGGAGGAACCCCGGUGGCGAAGGCCGCCUGCUGGACUGCAACUGACGUUGAGGCCCGAAAGCGUGGGGAGCAAACAGGAUUAGAUACCCUAGUAGUC